UACGAAGGGGGCUAGCGUUGUUCGGAAUUACUGGGCGUAAAGCGAACGUAGGCGGUGUUCCAUGUCAGAGGUGAAAGCCUGGGGCUCAACUCCAGAAUUGCCUUUGAAACGGGGACGCUUGGUCGCAGAGAGGGUGGCGGAAUUCCUAGUGUAGAGGUGAAAUUCGUAGAUAUUAGGAAGAACACCAGUGGCGAAGGCGGCCACCUGGCUCGGUACUGACGCUCAGGUUCGAAAGCGUGGGGAGCAAACAGG
This 252-nucleotide ribosomal RNA is filed under the name uncultured bacterium. Its description in RNAcentral is "partial 16S ribosomal RNA". It matches the Rfam family "Bacterial small subunit ribosomal RNA", at positions 524 to 776 of the family's 1533-position model. The record is from RNAcentral.